ACGGGAGGCAGCAGUGGGGAAUAUUGCACAAUGGGCGAAAGCCUGAUGCAGCGACGCCGCGUGAGUGAAGAAGUAUCUCGGUAUGUAAAGCUCUAUCAGCAGGGAAGAAAAUGACGGUACCUGACUAAGAAGCCCCGGCUAACUACGUGCCAGCAGCCGCGGUAAUACGUAGGGGGCAAGCGUUAUCCGGAUUUACUGGGUGUAAAGGGAGCGUAGACGGCAUGGCAAGUCUGAUGUGAAAACCCGGGGCUCAACCCCGGGACUGCAUUGGAAACUGUCAAGCUAGAGUGCAGGAGGGGUAAGCGGAAUUCCUAGUGUAGCGGUGAAAUGCGUAGAUAUUAGGAGGAACACCGGUGGCGAAGGCGGCUUACUGGACUGUAACUGACGUUGAGGCUCGAAAGCGUGGGGAGCAAACAGGAUUAGAUACCCUGGUA
RNAcentral lists this ribosomal RNA (434 nucleotides) under uncultured Clostridium sp. RNAcentral's name for it is "partial 16S ribosomal RNA". It matches the Rfam family "Bacterial small subunit ribosomal RNA", at positions 341 to 792 of the family's 1533-position model. Lineage: Bacteria; Bacillati; Bacillota; Clostridia; Eubacteriales; Clostridiaceae. The record is from RNAcentral.